GACGAACGCUGGCGGCGUGCUUAACACAUGCAAGUCGAACGAAGUGGCGAACGGGUGAGUAACGCGUAAUCAACCUGCCCUUCAGAGGGGGACAACAGUUGGAAACGACUGCUAAUACCGCAUACUGAAGGAGGGGAUUGCGUCUGAUUAGCUCGUUGGCGGGGUAACGGCCCACCAAGGCGAUGAUCAGUAGCCGGUCUGAGAGGAUGAUCGGCCACACUGGAACGUAGACACGGUCCAGACUCCUACGGGAGGCAGCAGUAGGGAAUCUUCCGCAAUGGGAGAAAGCCUGACGGAGCAACGCCGCGUGAGUGAUGAAGGUCUUCGGAUCGUAAAACUCUGUUAUUAGGGAAGCGGUAUCUAACCAGAAAGCCACGGCUAACUACGUGCCAGCAGCCGCGGUAAUAC
Molecule: ribosomal RNA, 408 nt
Filed under: uncultured bacterium
Lineage: Bacteria
Description: partial 16S ribosomal RNA
Rfam family: Bacterial small subunit ribosomal RNA
Source: RNAcentral